AUCUUUUGGCUUUGUAGACUCGAAAGGGAGAUAGUUUAUCUUUGCAGAUGCAUCUUGUAACUGACAGAUUAGAUCUGUUUUUGCAAUGGCCUUCGCUACUUUAAUGAAUUCCAAAGCCAUCAGGGGCGUUGGGCCCAACCCGAGCAUUCUUGGUCUGUUAAUCAGACUGGACCCUGUACUGGUUGACGCAAAAGCGGGUCUAGAGGAGAUGUCACUUUUAGUAGCUUGCUCCAUGGGGCAGGGGAAUCAGUACAACUGAACCUUGUAGAUCCGCCAGAGAUGUUUUGCAAUUGGUAGUUAGAUUAUGAGGAAGAGCCACUGCCAUAGGGAAGUGGAGCGUCUGCUUCUGGUAGUGAACCAUCCAAGAAUAGAAAAUCUGUUUCCAAGGGGAAGUCCAGUAAGAAGAAGGUUAAAGAAGGCGGAUGGAUCUCUUGAGGGCUGUAAUGAUCGGAGCUGAAGGCACCCCUUACCACGAUGGUCUUUUCUUCUGAUUAUCCUAAUGGACCUCCAAAAGUUCGCUAUCAUUCUGGUAGGCUUUGCAUCAAUCCAAAUCUGUAUAACUGUGGGAAGGUGUGCCUCAGCCUUCUUGGCACUUGGUCUGGUCAAUACAAGAAUGAGAAUUGGAUUCCUGGCAUUUCAACUGUGCUGCAAGUUCUGGUAUCCAUACAGGGGCUCAUAUUAAACUCAAAGCCCUAUUUUAAUGAGCCUGGGUAUGGGAGGUCAAUGAACAUGGAGCAGGGAGAAUCGACAGCAAUGACAUAUAAUGAAGAUACAUUUAUCCUUCCGCUGAGAACAAUGAUAUAUAAUAUGAAGAAGCCUCCUAAGCAUUUCGAGGACCUUGUUAAGGGCCAUUUCUUCAAGUGCGCUCCAGAUAUUCUGAUGGCUUGUAAAGCAUACGCAGAAGGUGCUUAGGUUGGAUGCCUUCUUAAAGGUGGCGUACAAGAUGUUGAUGCAGAUCAUAGAAGCAGCUCCCGCACCAGCUCCCUCCACUUUAAGGAUACUGUAUCUAAGUAUAUUAGUCUUCUGGUGAGAGAAUUCAGGAGACUUGGGAUCAAGGACUCGGAGAAAUUUAUGCCUCCGGCUCCAGCUCCAGCUCCGGCUCUAGCGAUGACAAGGGAGUGAAUAUCCAAAUAACUUCUUGAUUGAGACUGUCUUUUUUCGGUAGCAACACAGAUUAAGGUUCUUCUUAACUGGGGAUCAGUAACCUGUUGGAUGUUUUUGCGAAUGAUUUUGGAUAAUGUACAUAGGUGUAGACAUGGAUGAGUUACAGAA
RNA transcript from Eucalyptus grandis, 1272 nucleotides. It is a transcript of the gene named putative ubiquitin-conjugating enzyme E2 38, with no coding region annotated. The record is from RefSeq and is a predicted model, not a curated record. Lineage: Eukaryota; Viridiplantae; Streptophyta; Magnoliopsida; Myrtales; Myrtaceae. The transcript has 3 exons.